RNAcentral lists this long non-coding RNA (203 nucleotides) under Carica papaya (papaya). Its description in RNAcentral is "long non-coding RNA (CPAP_LNC015804)". The record is from RNAcentral. Lineage: Eukaryota; Viridiplantae; Streptophyta; Magnoliopsida; Brassicales; Caricaceae.
UCGGGAUCAGCCUGCUGUAACGGGGGCUCAACCUGCGCUAGCGGAGGAGGUCCGGGUAACUCCCUUCUCUCCUCUUGCCUUCGCUGGGCAGCUACGAGAGCUUCCACCAUCUCAUAUAAUCUGUCCAAUUCCUCCCGAAGCGAAUUAUCUUGGGCCGCUCGAUUUAGUGGGGGCCUUCCUCUCCUCAUUUCUGUGUACCUGCA